Micropterus salmoides (largemouth bass) is the source of this 921-nucleotide long non-coding RNA. RefSeq lists it as uncharacterized. The transcript has 2 exons. The record is from RefSeq and is a predicted model, not a curated record. Lineage: Eukaryota; Metazoa; Chordata; Actinopteri; Centrarchiformes; Centrarchidae.
GAAGACUGAUUCAGCAUAGUGAGUGAUACAGAGUGAAACUGUAAGUUGUUUUUGUGACUGUUAUUUGCUGAACUUAAGCUAUGUUUACUUGAGGUAAAGGAAAGGGGAUAUUUUAGUUGGCUAUAGAAAACACUAGUGUUGAUAAUGUGAACGCCAUUAAUACUGCCUAUGUCUAGUAGCCUAUUUCAAUCAGUCCCUAUAGAAUGUUAGUGUCAGUGAAAACUAUAUGUUAUAGUGUCCCUGUUAAUGCUGUUGUAUAUCCUUCCAUUCACUGACCAGAUGGAUAUUAUAUUUUAGGAGAGACAGAGAGAAGCGGGAGAUUGGCAGGGCAGCUGAUUCUGAGUUUAUAGUUUGUGUCCAGCCCCGGGACAGAGGGACUCCUAUGUGCUGCUCUGUGGUGGGUUGUGUUCUCUGGAGCAGUUAAAAGCCUGGCAGCUCCACCCCAUGACUGUCCAAACACAGUUGACUCAAGGCAUCCACAUCAAACAGAGCUCUCUGCAAAGCCUAUUGGAAAGUUAACCAUGGGGUGCUGAGCUUAUUUAUUUAUUUUCCACACAAAAAAUGUACCUGGCCUCAAUUUUUUUUCAAAUGUUUUAAAGCAAAAUUUACUUGACGGGACAUAGCUGUAUUUAAAAAGCAGUUUUGACACCGCACCUGAUUCUGCUCAGCUCUUCUGGACCAAGUCAAAACCAAGAUUCAGAGCAAGUAACAAGAAAAGACAAGUCAAUGAAAGAUCCUUUCAGUCUGCUCCUCAGUGACACUCACAACGGACAUGUCGGAACAAAAUUAACUUUCCUGGUGGUGUGUGUUUUAGAGCGCACGCACUGCAAUCAGUAAUUCAUCCUGCCUUGAGAUCCUUUGACAUUGACUUUCAAGGGUAGAUGCUAUGUGAAAAUGUAAAUAAACGUUAGAGGAGCUUUG